Molecule: long non-coding RNA, 281 nt
Organism: Pipra filicauda (Wire-tailed manakin)
Lineage: Eukaryota; Metazoa; Chordata; Aves; Passeriformes; Pipridae
Exons: 3
Source: RefSeq, a predicted model, not a curated record
CCAAAAGGUGCUCUCAGAAGAUGGUCAGUUCUCAGCUCUUUCACUGAUGUCCUGUUUUCGGCUGCCUGUGAUAGAGAAGAAGAAUAUCUAGUGGAAAUCGGUUGAAUGAAUUAGCUUCUGAGGUACAAAUGAUUUUCUGUGCCUACAAUUUUCAAGAGAGAGACUUUGAAAAUGUGUAUGAUGCAACAAAGUUUGCUUUGCAAUCCAGCAAGGUCUGCAGCUGAAAAAUGAGGCAGCAGCAAUCAGGGAAGAACUGCAGACAAUUGUUCUACAGCCACUGU